Molecule: RNA transcript, 2920 nt
Organism: Bombus terrestris (buff-tailed bumblebee)
Lineage: Eukaryota; Metazoa; Arthropoda; Insecta; Hymenoptera; Apidae
Gene name: WD repeat-containing protein 75
Exons: 16
Source: RefSeq, a predicted model, not a curated record
AUGAAGUUUGUUUAAGUAUUUGGAUCUUUGGAUACGAGAAGACACCAUGUGAUAGGCAUUUAGUUUGGUUAAUUUAUGUUUUACGUGUUUAUAGUUAUCAAAAUAUAAUAUUUUUACUGUAUUUUGUAUUUUAUUGCGUCAUUAAUAUAUGGGGUAUACAAUACCGCGUUUAAUUAUUAGGAACAUUAGUCUCUUAAGACAUAAUUGACAAAAUGCAGAUGAAAUUGAAUACACGACGCGAUUCAACAAAUAUUGAAGUAAUUGAUGUAGACGAUUUAGUUGUAACAAGAAAAGGCGGAGGAAGUAUAAUUGAUCAACGGCCAGUUUUUUCACACGAUGGAGAAACAUUAUACAUAGUAUGGAAGCAUGUUAUAAGAGCUUACAGUACACAAACUGGAGAUUUUGUUAAAGAAUUAGAACCAGCAAAUCACAAAAUUGCAGGAUUAAUAAUACAUCCAGAAAAUCCCAAUCUGAUCAUUGCCUGUACAGAAAAUGGAGAAUUAAAUUUUUGGAGUUGUCAAAGUGGCAUUAUCACAAAGAAAUUGGAAUUAAAAUUUCAAGUAGAGCCAAAAAUAAAAACAUUUCACAUUGUAAAUUAUAAAACUCAUAAUGGAAAUGAGUUGCGUCAAGUGCUUGUGACAUAUAUUUCCAAAUGCAACACAAAAAUUUAUAUAGUGUUAUUUGAUCUGGAUAAUGGAGUUUGUGCAAAGUCUACAUGUAUAUCGACAAAAUCUUAUGAAUAUUAUGUUGAUAUAAUUGGUAAUCAUGGUGAGAAUUUAAUAGCACUCCUUCAUGAUGUAGAUUUGCAUAUAUUGAAUCCAUCAAGAAAUUUUGUUGAUAAAUUACAUAAGACGGGUAAAACAGGUAGAAUACCAACGUGCAUUGCUGGACAUCCAGAAGAAGAAUGUGUUGCCACAGGAGAUUCGACUGGUCGUGUCGUAGUCUGGAAGGGUUUGUUUCAAACAAGACCUUAUACAGCAGUUUAUCAUUGGCAUACAUUACCUGUUACAGAAAUAGUAUUCAGUAAAUCAGGUGGUCACAUGUAUACAGGAGGAGGAGAAUGUGUUCUAGUGAAAUGGGUUUUAGCAAAUUCACAUCAAAAAUCUUUUCUUCCUCGAUUACCUGCACCUAUUAAACACCUUACUAUUGCUCCUGAUAAUUUAUAUGUGGCUGUAUCUACUUUAGAUAAUGGUAUCGUGGUUGUAAAUCCACAAAGAAAAUUGACAUCAGUUAUACAAAAUUUUACAUGGGGCGUGACCUUAUCUUCUAAAGAUUUAUUUCCUGCUGGCCUUAUUGUUGAUCCACGUACGAAUUGUUUAGUUCUAAAUAGUCGUACCGGACAUGUUCAAUUUUAUAAUACUCAUACAAAAAGUUUAUUAUAUAAUAUAAAUAUUACGGCACAAAAUUUUUUAACGCAAGAGCGUAAUGUACUUGUUAUAAACACGGAAGUUACAAAGAUAGCAAUAAAUCAUGAUGGUAUGUGGAUGGCGACUGUUGAAGAACGAAACGAUAAAAUGUCAUGUAUAGAAGUAAGGCUGAAAUUUUGGAUGUAUGACGUUAAACAACAACAGUUCGCGUUAAACACGUCAAUCGAGCUUCCUCACGAUGGUGGUGUGAAUGCUUUGCACUUCCAACCGUGCAUGUUAUUCGGUGAUGAGGGAGCACUGGCAGUUACAACAGGCAGAGAUAGAAAAUUCAAAUUAUGGCAUCUCGUAGAACCUUCAUCCUUACACAAAAAAAAUAAAUUUUGGCAGUGCCAUAGUGUAGGAGAUUACAGAAAUCUGCCUGCAACGGAUGCUGGUUUCUCGAUUGAUGGUUCAUUAGUUGGUAUUGGUUUCGAUUCUAGUCUAACAAUAUGGACUCCUGAUACUUGUACAUUUAAAUGUAGCCUUACACACUGUCAAUAUCAGUAUCCAGUGACGCGAAUUGAAUUUGGAAAACAAGAUGCUUGUCAUCUUGUGGUAGCAGUUUCCACGCAGCAUAUUGCGGUGUGGAACAUCCUGUCGCUCACGUUAAUAUGGAGCGUACCUCUAAAAAUUGCAACUCUUACGGCAGAUCCGAAAUCGACAUACAUGGCUGUUUUUACGACUGAUAAUUCACUGUUUGUAUUCACACCCCACAAAUCGACACCCGUCUACACAAGAAAAGAUUUUAUCGAAAAUAAUAGUUUCAUUUUGGGAGCCACCUUUGUACCACAUUUACAAGUGAAACGAGAUUCAUCGUACAGAUUGUGGCAACGAAAAUCGCAGCUUUUCUUUUUAGAUUCUAAUCAAGAAUUAUUAACGUUAGAACCAGAAUCCGAAGUGACUAUUUCUCUUGAAAUUUUAUCUACGAAUGCAAUAGUUCCUGCGACCGCCUUUAGCAAUUUAAUAGCGAGCACGACUACCACAGACAAGGAAGUACCCGCUCCAUUUAUGCACGAACAACUGAGAACAGGAAAAGGAAUGGUGAAAGAGUCUGUGGCCACAUUUGCUCUGGCAAAAAUGAUAGAUCGCCGCGCGACCAAUCGGAGCGGAGCUUCAGAUGUGCGUAAUAAGUUUACGAUUCUUCGGAAAGAUUAACGAACUGGAAACCAAAGUUGCAACAGUCGAUGAAGAAUCAAAACUUUCGACACAACUUUCUGGUGAAAACUGGUGUAUACCGAGAAGAAUAUUCGUGUAGGUUGUAAGAGACGCGUCAACCUAGAUCUGAAGUAGAAGAUUGCAGGAAUUGCAGAAAUUUUCGUUCGGGGGUGUGCCUGCGUCAGCCUUAAGACUAAUUAACUAAUCGGAUGUCGCGAGCGUCACAAGUAUUACCGAAGAAGUAAACGCACGUCAAAUAUCAUACGUAUCUUUCCCAAUUAUACUUCUCAGCGUCUCAGCCCACACAUUACCGCCCAUGAAGAUGCUUUGUGCAUCAUUCAUCACAUCUCUGCUCUCGU